ACAAGCAGCGGAGCGUGUGGUUUAAUUCGAUGCUACACGAAGAACCUCACCAGGGUUUGACAUGUUAGAAGUAGUGAACCGAAAGGGGAUCGACCUGUUAAGUCAGGAGCUAUCACAAGGUGCUGCAUGGCUGUCGUCAGCUCGUGCCGUGAGGUGUAUGGUUAAGUCCUGCAACGAGCGCAACCCUUAUUGCCAGUUAUAUUCUCUGGCGAUACUGCCUCGCAAAACGGGGAGGAAGGUGGGGAUGACGUCAAGUCAGCAUGGCCUUUAUACCCUGGGCUACACACACGCUACAAUGGACGGUACAAUGGGUUGCCACCGGGCGACCGGGAGCUAAUCCCCAAAACCAUCCUCAGUUCGGAUCGCAGGCUGAAACCCGCCUGCGUGAAGUCGGAGUUGCUAGUAAACGCGUGUCAGCAUAGCGCCGUUGAACCUACGUCCUCGGCCUU
This 449-nucleotide ribosomal RNA is filed under the name uncultured Dehalogenimonas sp. RNAcentral describes it as "bacterial SSU rRNA". It matches the Rfam family "Bacterial small subunit ribosomal RNA", at positions 925 to 1381 of the family's 1533-position model. Lineage: Bacteria; Bacillati; Chloroflexota; Dehalococcoidia; Dehalococcoidales; Dehalococcoidaceae. The record is from RNAcentral.